CUUCACUGAGCGCUCUUCAACGGAUCUCAAUUCAGUUUGCAAGCGCUGCUCAACGUCAAUGGUUUAGAACUCGAAAAGGAACCUGUUGAAAUAAAAUUAACCGCGUUGUAAAAUUUCGCUACUCCUAAAAUACUCAUCGGCAG
Rhagoletis zephyria (snowberry fruit fly) is the source of this 143-nucleotide long non-coding RNA. RefSeq lists it as uncharacterized. The record is from RefSeq and is a predicted model, not a curated record. Lineage: Eukaryota; Metazoa; Arthropoda; Insecta; Diptera; Tephritidae.